GGGUCAGUAGGUUGGUCGUGCCACCGGUACGUACUGGUCUCACUGAUUCCUCCUUCCUGAAGAACCGUAAUGCCAUUAAUUUGGUGUUGCGGGGAAACAGGACUGUUACUUUGAAAAAAUUAGAGUUUUUAAAGCCAGCUAACGCUUGAAUACAUUAGCAUGGAAUAAUGAAAUAGGACGAUCGAUCCUAUUUUGUUGGUUUCUAGGAUUGACGUA
Molecule: ribosomal RNA, 216 nt
Filed under: Glomeromycotina sp.
Lineage: Eukaryota; Fungi; Glomeromycota
Description: partial small subunit ribosomal RNA
Rfam family: Eukaryotic small subunit ribosomal RNA (bases 40-216)
Source: RNAcentral